RNAcentral lists this ribosomal RNA (406 nucleotides) under uncultured bacterium. Its description in RNAcentral is "partial 16S ribosomal RNA". It matches the Rfam family "Bacterial small subunit ribosomal RNA", at positions 30 to 526 of the family's 1533-position model. The record is from RNAcentral.
AUUGAACGCUGGCGGCAGGCCUAACACAUGCAAGUAGAACGAGUGGCGGACGGGAGAGUAAUGUCUGGGAAACUGCCAGAUGGAGGGGGAUAAGUACUGGAAACGGUAGCUACUAACGCAUACAAUAGGAUGUGUCCCGGUGGGAAUAGCUAGAAGGUGGGGUAACGGCUGACCUAGGCGACGAUCCCAAGCUGGUCUGAGAGGAUGACCAGCCACACUGGAACUGAGACACGGUCCAGACUCCUACGGGAGGCAGCAGUGGGGAAUAUUGCACAAUGGGCGCAAGCCUGAUGCAGCCAUGCCGCGUGUAUGAAGUAGGCCUUCGGGUUGUAAAGUACUUUCAGCGAGGAGGCGUUACUCGCAGAAGAAGCACCGGCUAACUCCGUGCCAGCAGCCGCGGUAAUAC